RNAcentral lists this ribosomal RNA (444 nucleotides) under uncultured bacterium. RNAcentral's name for it is "SSU rRNA". It matches the Rfam family "Bacterial small subunit ribosomal RNA", at positions 26 to 518 of the family's 1533-position model. The record is from RNAcentral.
AGAACGAACGCUGGCGGCAGGCUUAACACAUGCAAGUCGAACGCCCCGCAAGGGGAGUGGCAGACGGGUGAGUAACGCGUGGGAACGUGCCCUUCGCUUCGGGAUAGCCUCGGGAAACUGGGAGUAAUACCGAAUACGCCGUAUUGGGAAAGAUUUAUCGGCGAAGGAUCGGCCCGCGUUGGAUUAGCUAGUUGGCGGUGUAAUGGACCACCAAGGCGACGAUCCAUAGCUGGUCUGAGAGGAUGAUCAGCCACACUGGGACUGAGACACGGCCCAGACUCCUACGGGAGGCAGCAGUGGGGAAUCUUGGACAAUGGGCGCAAGCCUGAUCCAGCCAUGCCGCGUGAGUGAAGAAGGCCUUAGGGUUGUAAAACUCUUUCGCCGGUGAAGAUAAUGACGGUAACCGGAGAAGAAGCCCCGGCUAACGUUCGCGCCAGCAGCCGC